Molecule: ribosomal RNA, 497 nt
Filed under: uncultured bacterium
Lineage: Bacteria
Description: partial 16S ribosomal RNA
Rfam family: Bacterial small subunit ribosomal RNA
Source: RNAcentral
GAUGAACGCUGGCGGCGUGCCUAAUACAUGCAAAUCGAGCGAACGGACGAGAAGCUUGCUUCUCUGAUGUUAGCGGCGGACGGGUGAGUAACACGUGGAUAACCUACCUAUAAGACUGGGAUAACUUCGGGAAACCGGAGCUAAUACCGGAUAAUCUUUUGAACCGCAUGGUUCAAAAGUGAAAGACGGUCUUGCUGUCACUUAUAGAUGGAUCCGCGCUGCAUUAGCUAGUUGGUAAGGUAACGGCUUACCAAGGCAACGAUGCAUAGCCGACCUGAGAGGGUGAUCGGCCACACUGGAACUGAGACACGGUCCAUACGCCUACGGGAGGCAGCAGUAGGGAAUCUUCCGCAAUGGGCGAAAGCCUGACGGAGCAACGCCGCGUGAGUGAUGAAGGUCUUCGGAUCGUAAAACUCUGUUAUUAGGGAAGAACAUAUGUGUAAGUAACUGUGCACAUCUUGACGGUACCUAAUCAGAAAGCCACGGCUAACUACGUG